AUUGAACGCUGGCGGCAGGCCUAACACACGCAAGUCGAGCGGAUGAAGGGAGCUUGCUCCUGGAUUCAGCGGCGGACGGGUGAGUAAUGCCUAGGAAUCUGCCUGGUAGUGGGGGAUAACGUCCGGAAACGGGCGCUAAUACCGCAUACGUCCUGAGGGAGAAAGUGGGGGAUCUUCGGACCUCACGCUAUCAGAUGAGCCUAGGUCGGAUUAGCUAGUUGGUGGGGUAAAGGCCUACCAAGGCGACGAUCCGUAACUGGUCUGAGAGGAUGAUCAGUCACACUGGAACUGAGACACGGUCCAGACUCCUACGGGAGGCAGCAGUGGGGAAUAUUGGACAAUGGGCGAAAGCCUGAUCCAGCCAUGCCGCGUGUGUGAAGAAGGUCUUCGGAUUGUAAAGCACUUUAAGUUGGGAGGAAGGGCAGUAAGUUAGUACCUUGCUGUUUUGACGUUACCAACAGAAUAAGCACCGGCUAACUUCGUG
This 484-nucleotide ribosomal RNA is filed under the name uncultured bacterium. Its description in RNAcentral is "partial 16S ribosomal RNA". It matches the Rfam family "Bacterial small subunit ribosomal RNA", at positions 30 to 507 of the family's 1533-position model. The record is from RNAcentral.